Molecule: long non-coding RNA, 2980 nt
Organism: Beta vulgaris subsp. vulgaris (sugar beet)
Lineage: Eukaryota; Viridiplantae; Streptophyta; Magnoliopsida; Caryophyllales; Amaranthaceae
Exons: 7
Source: RefSeq, a predicted model, not a curated record
ACAGGUAAAUUCAAAUGAAUGGCAUUUGGAUACUUCAUCCGCAGCAGGAGGACGUUCCAAAAUUUUGCACUUUGUUGUAUAUGUACCAUCUGCAAAGGAGUGCCCUCUUUCACUGCAACUUCCUAAUGGAGAGAUCUCUGCAACAAAUGGCUUUAUAUCUCGUGUAUGUUCUCAUUCUCUCCUUUAUUUCCCUUCUUAACUGCUACAGUGAUAAAAUUCUAAUAACCUGCUUUUAGAUGCGGAGAGGUGUCAUUGUCUGGAAUCCAUCUGGUUGUUCAAGUCAUUCUCAGACCAAGGGUAAUGUUAGGCAUGCAAUCCCCUUCAAGGAUCUUGAAAACAUUGUUGAAAUUUUCUUGGGGAAGUUACGGCAGCUUUUUGGUCUUAAGUCUGAAACCCUCUAUGUUGGUUCUUCGGGCUGAAUUAAUCAUCUGGCUAGUGAACAAGGCUUCACGAAAUGGGAAUUGGAUCCGUUGGUCCGGCAUCAUACGUGCUUUAAUCUUCAGUCAUGUGCGACCACACUCGGUUCUCUUUCCAGAUUGGUUCAAUCACUGCCAAGGAUGAUCAUAAAGGAUGAAAUAGGAAAACUGGUCAAUUGCAAUUUCAAUACUUGUCAUUGAUUUUCUUUUUCUCAGGAUGGAUUUGUUUGGGGUUGUGAUGUGCAAACAUUUAAGCUAUCAUAGCUAGUUAUACCAGUUUUUAAUUAUGAGAAGCCUUUUUCUGUGGCUACAUGACUACAUCACACAUUGGAGUUCCAUGGAAUAAUAUUUUGUCCUAUGGUGGCUAUACACAGACACAUCCUCACACGCACAUGUGUACACACAUACUCACAUACGAAGAGGUUAUCGUUCUUUUCAGGUAGAAUACUCUCUUAACGCAACAGAUUUUGCACGAAGAAAUGCUACUCUUGGUGCCUAUGAUGAUUCUGCUGUGCUGUCACGACAAGCAAGAUCGUUGGCGGAAAACGCCUUCUUUCAUCCAUCUAUCAUGUCUGUGAGCUAUUACUCGUUUGAGCAUUGCUUUGCAGUCUACUCGGUUAGUCAUAAUUUUGCUCUUUUACCAGUGUUCAUAAAUGAGAUAAGUGAGUUCUUAAAUUUUUUGAGGGUACACCAGCACAUAAGACAUAACCCAAUUAGAUCAUAACUGGUGCCUUUGCAGCUGAAGGUCUUGCUAUAUGCUUGAUGCAAUCCAGCAUUUCUGACCCAUUCGAAUUAUAGUUGUAUUAGAUAAGAAUUUGUUAAGUUCACCUUAUGUUGGUCAGAAGAAUUGUCCUGCUAUAUACUUAAAUUCAUGGAAGCAUUCUGGUAUCUGACCUUGUACAGUUGGGUUGGAGAAAGCUUGCGAGUUGCUUCAUUGUUUUGGGGUAUCGAGGAAAUCAAGAGUUACUUGUGCUUCGUCCCUUUUCAAGCAUAAUGAUCACUCUCAAACUCAAGGACGUUAUGCUUCUAGCACAAGUCAAUUUAUGUCUUGUUAACAUGCUUUCUUAUUGAGUACUCCAUACGACCCUUAAUGUUUGGCCCAUAGCAAAUUUCACCUUUUUAGGAGCUGGAAAAAAGUUGUGCACAUGAUUUGUCUUUUUAAUACUAACUCUAUAUUUUUUUAGUUGCAUCAUUUGUUUUUUCACAUGUGUUGAGACGAUUUUUUGAACAUUAACAUCUCUUAUUGGGUGUAAGCAAAAAUUAUAAAAAAUUGAUAUUUGAAUCCUCGCAUUGAGAUGAAUCUAGUAAGACCCCACUUGAUUAUGUUUUUUCUUAUAUAAUAAUGCGAAAUAGUUUAACAAACUUGGUUGAUGAAUAGUGCCACAAAAGCAAAUGUUGCAACUAAAAAAGUACGGAGCAUGUGAAUUCAGGGGAGCAAGUUGCUGAUGUCCUGACCAAGAUCCUACCAGUUAAACAACAUCAACACUUGUUAUCCAAGCUUGGAGUUGCACCUAUGUUUCACCCACAAGCUUGAGGGGGAUUAAAGAGAAAUAUAGGGAAAUAUUAAGCUAUUUUUACUCUAAUGAUUAGUUUGUCCUAGUCUUUGAGUCACCAUAUAUACUGUGCUGAUGUCAAUUAUCCUUUAUUCCUUUCUCUGAUUAUUGUACACUGUCAUGACAUUGAAUAACUGUUGUUCUUAUUUGUCUUCUAGUGCCGCUGUAGCUAUAUCUAGAGUAAGAAUGGUAUGUUAAAAGGUUGAGCAAUUAAUCACAAAUUAUCUCCAUUUCUCAUUUCCUAAUCUCUCUCUGAAUUCUUCUUGGUUCAUGAUGUGUAAUGAGAAUUUUGCUCUUUAUGGUACCAGAGCUGGACAUAGUCACUGAAUCACUGAAGAAGAAAAUCUUAAAUUUUCAGCCAAGUUGUUGAACCUGAAAUAAUCAGCAUCCUUCUUGAACAAAAAAGAACAGUGAAAGUUCUAACCUUUCUCUCUCUUCUAUUCCUUCUUCAUUCUCUCUUCUUUUCUCUCAUCUUCUUAACUAUGGCAAAACUAACAUUUGCUGAUAUGCAAAACCCUUUAUUUCAUUACCCAUCUGAUGGAACCACAUCCACUCAGAUAGAAAAACUACAAGGAUCAGAUGAUUACAGAUCCUGGCGUAGGCAAAUGGAAAUCAUCCUCACAUCCAAGAAAAAACUUGGCUUUGUGACUAGAAUAGUUGUAAGAUCAACUGAAGAUGCAACCAUGGGAGAACAGUAGGACUCAUGCAACAAUAUGUUGGACAAGAUCAGACAACUAAGGAUACGUUAUGGUAUCGAGAUCUCACAAAUCAAACCAAACGGAAAAUGGAUGAAGUUCAGAAGCAAUAAUAUCUUCUUAAUGAACUCAAUACUUUUUACUUAGCAAUAAAUGUUCUUUUAUAAAUCUGUGAUGUUCAUAUGGGACAUAUUGUAUUAUUUUGGUUUUAUUUUUGCCUUUUGAGUGCAUAGCAUUUUGGAUUUACCAUCUUUUGUAAUUAUUGUUUUUUGAAUAUUUAUAUAACUAUUCAUUUGGGAUGUUCAUUAUAAAUAUU